Molecule: long non-coding RNA, 2625 nt
Filed under: Nicotiana tabacum (common tobacco)
Lineage: Eukaryota; Viridiplantae; Streptophyta; Magnoliopsida; Solanales; Solanaceae
Description: long non-coding RNA (NTAB_LNC000153)
Source: RNAcentral
AGUGUAAAGUGAGUUCUAGAUAAGAAUAGCAAAAUAUUUUACAAAUAUAUGUGUAACAAAGUGAAGUAUAUGAAAGAAUUAAACGGAUAUUAAAGAAUGGUAUUUUAAUGUAAUUUUAAUAAUAUGAUAAGAAUUACACCUAAAAAUACAUGUUAACUUAAAGUGUUUGAAUAAAAUCAUGAACUUACAAGAAUAAAUUUGAAGAGAAAAGACUAAUAAUUAAAGUUUAAAGGUUAAGAUGGACGACUACAACAAGAAGAAACAUAUACUAAACGAUUGAGAAAAAGGGGGAAGAGUAUUUAUUAGCACAUGGGCAGGUAUUUAACAAGUAAUUCAACCAAAGAGUGUUAAAAGAAUUAUCUCAAUGUAUGAUGAGCAAAGUGAAAUAAUUAUUUUUAUUUUUAAAGAAUAAAUGUGGUAUAGGAAGAAUGUACCAAAAUGUUUGACAUAAAAAAAACUAUUAUAUCAAUAUGAAGAAGCAUUCGCGCUAAAAAGAUAGAGUCAUCAUUUCAUAAGGAACCAAGAUCACCUUUAGAGUCACGGUGUUGAAACACAAAUUGUGUGAACCAAGCCCAAAUGACUACAAGGCCCAAGUCUUUCAAAAAGGCAUAAUAAUUCAAUUAAAACUUCUUUACAAAUUAUGUCUACUCGAAAUGUAUUAAUUAAAGAGUAAUUUACAUAUAGAGAGAUUCGAAAGGCAUACUAGUAUAACUUUAAGAAAAUACGAUAAAAUGAUUUAUUUUUAUUUUUUCAUGAAAAGAGGAUGACAUGUUUUUAUUUCAAGUAUACACCUAACCUAAUUGACGACUAAGUUUAAAAAUAUAUUUGACAUCCUAAGUGUUCAUACAAAUUAUGCCAAUUACCCAAUUUAUAACGUUACAAGUUAGUCAGAUUAUUAACUAAAUACAAUUCACCCUAAGUGUUUGCAAAUAGGUAAACAUCAAAGAAAACAAGAAAGCACGGCAUCUAUCUACCACUUUACUAUACUUUACGUUUUGAGUACAUCCGAGAAUAAGAAGUACGAAGCGGGGAAUUUGGUGGGGUUCGUCUUCGUCUCCGAGCGUCGUCUUUCCAAAGCGUUUUCUUUUAAAGUACCUCGCAAGAUAAGAGAAAUGAAAUUAUUAGCGAAAUAAUAUAAUGUAAAAGAUAAACUAAUAAACUGACAUGUUUUUCAAAUGGUUUUUGUUUUAAAAUGUUUUUGGAAAGUUUCUCUUGAAAAUGAUUUUGUUUUUGAAAGAUAUUUUUGGAAAAAUGUUUUUGGCACAUUAUUUUUGGAAAAUAGUUUUGGAAAAUAAUUUAUAAUUAAUAUAGGAGGCUCAGAUAUGUGUUUUUGAUUUUCGACUAGACAUGAGAACGGGAACCGCCUCACUUGCAACUCCAGUGGCCAACCAUGUCGCCCUCCAUAGGUUGUUGGUUCGUGUUCUUGUCUUUUUUUUUUCGAUGUUUAUCAUCAUCGCAUCGUUAUUCGGGCCCGAUCCGGAAGGUAAUUCGGGGCGUUGUGGCUUCCAAAAUUUAUUCUCAUCGGCCCAGUUCAAAUGUAUCAUCUGCUAAAAUCAGUUUUAAUCAAAAGCCAAAGAAGAUGCCAAAAUCAGUCCCAAUCUCGUUCAACCAACAUUGGAGAACACAGAGAUAAAGUGUCAUUAACAGUGAGCAGCCAGGUCUACGUGAGCAACAAAGAGACAAGGAACACCAAUGUAUUAUCAAUAGUACAACAAAGAAGCGGAUAGCUGCAACUUAGCAAAGACAGAUUUCACCAUAACAUGGACAUCACAGGGAGCGAGGGCAAAUUUCACCAAACCAACAUAGACGUGGCGGCAAACUUCAAAACCCAACACAAUUGUGAAGAUAAAAAUACGAAUCAGAACCAAACGGGUCUCAAGAGCUAGAGAUACUAGGAAUGAAACAAAACAUCACAAAUAGGCACAAUAGUAAAGCCUUAAGCAGUAAUGACCACAAAACAUAUAUGAGUUGCUGGAACCAUAGCCAUGGACGACGGAGAGCGCCAGAACAGUUGAGAGGUCGCCGAAAACCCAUAGGUCCAUCAAUGGGAAGUACUAAAUUAGUCGGAGAUGAGCCAACAAACACAAAAAUUGAUAAAACAACAAAACACACGAAGGACUAGCCGACGAUGAACUUCGGUGUAGUUGAAAGGAUAACAACAACAAAGAAGUCCGUCGGAAAAGUUGAAACUCCAGCCAAAUUUCUUGAAACCACAAAAUGAAGUUUCUUAUCAUAUAUAACAGAGGGGAAAGAAAGUCACUGGAAAACUAUAAAAGGGUCAGAUCUGAUUCGUCCAGCUAGUUUCAAACCUGCAAAAUCAACAAACCAUUAGAACAAGUAGAGAAGGGGAAGUGAAGGGAAGGAGGAGGAGCAGUAGCAGUGGCGCCUGCCAUCAAAGUCAUCAGCCAAAUUGGUUGUAAAAUCCAGUGGUGGUGUCGCACAAUAGGGGAGAAGGGAGAUGGCAGCAGUGGUGGCCAUUGGAGCGGCCGUAGUCGCCUGUUUUCGGGCUGGGUUCGCCGGCGAGGGGAAGGUGCAGAAACGAGAGAGAGAGAGAGGCGAGUUUGAGGGGGUGGCGGCUGCCAUCUCUCACUUGAGAGAAGAGAAAAAUGAGGGAACUAAUUAGGG